UACAGAGGUGGCAAGCGUUGCUCGGUAUCACUGGGCUUAAAGGGCGCGUAGGCUGUGCGGCACGGUUCGGGUGAAAUCCCUCGGCUCAACCGAGGAACUGCCCGGGCUACGGCCGCACUCGACUGCAUCAGGGGAAGAUGGAACUCCCGGUGGAGCGGUGAAAUGCGUAGAUAUCGGGAGGAACGCCGGCGGCGAAAGCGAUCUUCUGGGGUGCUAGUGACGCUGAGGCGCGAAAGCCAGGGGAGCAAACGGG
RNAcentral lists this ribosomal RNA (253 nucleotides) under uncultured prokaryote. Its description in RNAcentral is "partial 16S ribosomal RNA". It matches the Rfam family "Bacterial small subunit ribosomal RNA", at positions 524 to 776 of the family's 1533-position model. The record is from RNAcentral.